AGCUUGCCGCUCUUGCAUUCGCAGUCGCAGAUCUCCCAGGCCUCCCUCGACGAGAACCUCCUCAGCCCUCGCCAUCCCUCCCCCGCGCGCGAUCAGCAGGCAUACAGAAAAAGUUUGUGCUCGUAGAGACCUCUCUCCAGCAAAUUCUUAAGGGACAAGACGAUCUCAAGGUGCUCUUUGAAGGCAGCACAAAAAGCAAUCCUGACCAGAUGAGUGCUCUGAACAACCACACCAGCAAACUCGAUGAGAUAUUAUCGACACUUUCAAUCCUGAAGCAAAUGCAGGAAGAUUUGAGGCAAUUGAA
Molecule: long non-coding RNA, 304 nt
Organism: Lolium rigidum
Lineage: Eukaryota; Viridiplantae; Streptophyta; Magnoliopsida; Poales; Poaceae
Exons: 3
Source: RefSeq, a predicted model, not a curated record